UGUUUGUUUGUGUUUUAGAGUGUUUUGAGUCAAGUCAAAACCCAAAUUUCGUCCAAAGUUGUGCUAGAGUUAGAAACUGCCUAGUUUGUGUUUUUAGGCAGUUUUGAGUGUCUUUAAGUUAUUUUGAGUCUUGUGAACUUGUUUUGAGUUCUUUAAGUCUAUUCAAACGUUUUUAACUUUGUUUUUAUGUUUUUGAGUUAGUUUAGAGGUUUUAGCAAGCCCUCCUAAUCCCCGGUUUAGAACGAUCCCUACUUACAUCUAUACUACAAUUGUCAAAAAGAGGGUUUAAUUUGUGUGUCAAGUAAUUUUACGCAUCAAAGCCAUAUUCAUUUACCCUUAGUUGGCAAUGGAGUUAGGAGGUAGGAGAGAAUACCACUGAGAAGUCAGCUCAAUUAAAGAAUCCCUAAACAACCUCAGCUUGUAGCUGCUAGCUUUUGUUCAUCAAUGUAUGGAGGGUAAGGGUUUUGGUAGGUCACCCUGAACAUUAGGCGGGCAUAUAGCCUAGCAUUAUGCAUUAUUAGUCUCCUUAAGUCAACUAUCUCAUUCAUUAGUUGCUGGUUUGCCACAUUACUUGGCAAAGGUGGAGAUAUUCCUUACUUCGGGCUAUUUUCAAAGUAAGCGGGCAUCUCAAGCACUGCCUCGGGCUGUCCCACCUCUCAUUUUAUUGACCAUAGGUGGAGGCCUAUAAGGAAGUGGUUUAGUGACUAUUGUGGGCAUACCAUUUCCACUGGCUCCUCCAUUUGAACUAGAUGUUAAAGCAUUAGUUCCAUUUUGCUCGAUUGUGUUUCUUGACAUGCUUGUGACUAGAACUAUCUCCAACAAAUUCACCCAUGUAGGCCCCUUCUCCUUUGAGAUCGGACUAUUGAGCAAAAAUUGUACGAGAAUGACGCGAAAAUUAACUUAACACACAAAUUUAACCCUCUUUUGACAAUUGUAGUAUAAGUAUAAGUAGGGAUCGUUCUGGACCGGGGAUUAGGAGGGCUUGCUAAUAACCUCUAAACUGACUUAAAAAUAUAUAAACAAAGUUAAAAACAGUAAACUAGACUCAAAGAAUUCAAAACAAACUCAAAGAACUCAAAACUAGUUUAAAAGACUCAAAACUGCUUAAAACAAUGAAUUAGACUCUAAACUGACUCUAGGGAUGGUUUUGGACGAAAUUAGGUUCUAACUUGACUC
RNAcentral lists this long non-coding RNA (1176 nucleotides) under Malus domestica (apple). Its description in RNAcentral is "long non-coding RNA (MDOM_LNC006942)". The record is from RNAcentral. Lineage: Eukaryota; Viridiplantae; Streptophyta; Magnoliopsida; Rosales; Rosaceae.